GGUAGUCACACGAGUUUAAAUGCAACGAAAUAACUAAUAAUCCGCGUUUAAAGAGCGUAGGUACAAGUUUGCAAUAUCAGUUUGAUUCGAUAUUUCGCAGCGCGUAGUAUUAAGACCUCUGUAGUAGAGUUUUGGCAAGAAUUUAAAGAAGAAAUAAAUUUAAAUAAAAAAACACAAGAAUGAAAUCGUCACUGUUGGCCUCAGUUUUGAUUAUCAUUGCAACAGUCACAAUCAGUUCAGUGUAUGGACAAUCUGGUUCCAAUUAUUUUUACAAAAAUCGUCACGGAAAUUCAAAUAAUGAUGAAGAUCUUAAUGAAGGCGGAGGAGAUGGAAAUACAAGCAUUAAGUUACUGGAAGAAAAUAAUUUGAUACCACUCGAAUUUUUGGAACGACUAGAUAAUGUUGAAGAUAUGAGUGAAUUUAUCAACAAAUUCGUCACAACAGAUGAGUUAGAUCCACAAAUUGGCAUACAACAUAAGAUUGGAGGAAAUUCAAAUGUAGAAAGAGCUGCUUUAAACAUAGCUAAAGCUGCAGGUUGUAUUCCUGAUAGUACAGUUGUACCUUUGGAACCAUUGAAUCCAUCAAAUGAUCCAUCAAUUUUAUACUUUCCUAAAUGCACGAGAGUAAAACGCUGCAAUGGAUGCUGUUCGUCACCUUUAUUAUCAUGCCAACCAGUUGAAACAGAAACAAUUGACUUUACGAUAUUCAAAUUACAAUAUACAGGAAAAAGUCGAAUGCCGCUCAGAGAACAGGAACAUGUUUUAGUUGAACAACAUAAAAAAUGUAAAUGUGAUUGUCGUAUUAGAAAAGAGGAUUGUAAUUCAUAUCAAGUAUAUGAUGCGUCACAAUGUAAAUGUAAUUGUACAAACUACAACGCCAGAGAUAAAUGUUUAUUGGAAGAAGAUAAAAUCUGGGAUUAUGAAACAUGUAAAUGUAGAUGUCGGGAAAACCAACAAUGUACAACAGGUACAUACUUUGAUGAUCACCUUUGCAAAUGUACUGAGAUAGACAAUUUAGAACUUUUUUAAUCAAUCAAUCGACACACACAUCCACCUAUACACAAAUACCAUCUGCUUAUUUGUAAUAAAUUUAAGAAAAAAUAAAUAAACAAAGUAAACAAAAAAAAAACAUCCUAUUUUAGUGUGUAAAACUAUUGUGUAAAAAAAAGAAAUACUAUUUUGUGUAAUUGGAGGUAGUUCCUCCAAAACACUCUUUGACAGGAGGCGGUUUAUUGUUAAAGCAGUACCAGUUGAUCAGAGCAAUAAAACAAUAUAUGAUACUGAUGGAAAAUAAUAAAAA
Molecule: RNA transcript, 1299 nt
Organism: Episyrphus balteatus (marmalade hoverfly)
Lineage: Eukaryota; Metazoa; Arthropoda; Insecta; Diptera; Syrphidae
Gene: Pvf1
Gene name: platelet-derived growth factor subunit A
Exons: 10
Source: RefSeq, a predicted model, not a curated record